AUUGAACGCUGGCGGCAGGCUUAACACAUGCCAGUCGGGCGGUAACAGGAGAAGCGUGCUUCUCGCUGACGUGCGGCGGACGGGUGAGGAAUACUUAGGAAUCUACUUAGUAGUGGGAGAUAGCUCGGGGAAACUCGAAUUAAUACCGCAUACGACAUACGGGAGAAAGGCGGCACCUUGUUGCUCUAUCUAUUAGAUGAGCCUAAGUAGGAUUAGCUAGAUGGUGGGGUAAAGGCCUACCAUGGCGACGAUCUGUAGGUGGUCUGAGAGGAUGAUCAGACACACCGGGACUGAGACACAGCCCGGACUCCUACGGGAGGCAGCAGUGGGGAAUAUUGGACAAUGGGGGCAACCCUGAUCCAGCCAGGCCGCGUGUGUGAAGAAGGCCUUUUGGUUGUAAAGCACUUUAAGCAGUGAAGAAGACUCUAGGGUUAAUAUCCUUAGACGAUGACAUUAGCCGCAAAAUAAGCACCGGCUAACUCUGUGUCAGCAGCCGCCGUAA
Molecule: ribosomal RNA, 502 nt
Filed under: uncultured bacterium
Lineage: Bacteria
Description: partial 16S ribosomal RNA
Rfam family: Bacterial small subunit ribosomal RNA
Source: RNAcentral